GCUUCUGUAGCUCAGUUGGGAGAGCAUACGACUGUUAAUCGUGAGGUCGGGCGAUCGAAACGCCCCGGAAGCG
This 73-nucleotide transfer RNA is filed under the name Candidatus Pelagibacteraceae bacterium. RNAcentral describes it as "tRNA-Asn". It matches the Rfam family "tRNA". Rfam says of the family: Transfer RNA (tRNA) molecules are approximately 80 nucleotides in length. Their secondary structure includes four short double-helical elements and three loops (D, anti-codon, and T loops). Further hydrogen bonds mediate the characteristic L-shaped molecular structure. tRNAs have two regions of fundamental functional importance: the anti-codon, which is responsible for specific mRNA codon recognition, and the 3' end, to which the tRNAs corresponding amino acid is attached (by aminoacyl-tRNA synthetases). tRNAs cope with the degeneracy of the genetic code in two manners: having more than one tRNA (with a specific anti-codon) for a particular amino acid; and 'wobble' base-pairing, i.e. permitting non-standard base-pairing at the 3rd anti-codon position. Lineage: Bacteria; Pseudomonadati; Pseudomonadota; Alphaproteobacteria; Candidatus Pelagibacterales; Candidatus Pelagibacteraceae. The record is from RNAcentral.